Molecule: long non-coding RNA, 3185 nt
Filed under: Marmota monax (woodchuck)
Lineage: Eukaryota; Metazoa; Chordata; Mammalia; Rodentia; Sciuridae
Source: RNAcentral
CUUGGAUUUAAUAAUUCACUCCCAUCCUGAUGUUCCUUUAUUGCUGUAAAUUCCUAUGUUUGCAAAAUAUAAUCAGCCCAGUACAGCAAGUAAACAUGAUUGUUAUUUUUAUUUAUUUCAGCCAUGACUUCUCAUCGUCCUCAAGAAAUUUCACCAGAGCAAAGAAUAAAAGAAGGAGAGGGAAGAUAUGGAAAGUCGGCCCUAGAUUAUUUACCACUAAGAAAACAAUGGGAAAAUAUAGGUGAGAGUAAAGUUCAAAAAUUGUAUUAUAAUGGACAAAACCAAUUAGUAGUCCCUAUUUAUGAUAAAAAAAUUAUGGUCACAAGACACCAGAAAAAAUUAAUAUCUGAAAAAAAAUCAAUCUAUUCCACUUACUUUUGAGGAGCUGUGUAUGGCUUUAAGAAUAUAUCCACAGCCAUUUUACAAAAGGAAAUGUGGAAAAUUUGAAAAGAAAUCUGGUCCAUGCAUAAGUUUUUAACUUAGCCAAUUAUAAAUGUAGCACUGAGUUAAACUUCCAGUCAAAUUUUUGCACAGAAAAGAUACUUGAAACUGAAAGACACAUUUCUAAAAGUGAUACUUUUGAGAGUUUCUUUACAAAAUGUCCAUUUUUUCUGCAGCAAAACAGUAAUUUCUCCUUGCACACAAAUGGACAAUGUUAAGAAUUGUAGAAAGGUUUCUACUUCCCCACUAUUGCUCAAUGACAAUUAUGAUACAGAUUUCUGGAAAGUGCUAUAAGUAACACCAUUAGCCAUGUAUGUACCCUGAGUAAUUACCAGUAUAUUUACAUUGGUGAUAAAAAUUAUGAAUAUAGAGAAACUCCUAGUCAUUUUCUAAAGGAAAAUUACCAUGAUGAAAAAUGUGGGAAAGUCUUGCUUCAGUUCUCAAAAACUAUUACUCAUCCAAAUAUUCAUAGUCAAGGCAAAACUUGCAAGUGUAAAGUAUGUGAAAGGGCUCUUAAUAACAGAGAAGAGCUUGCUCAAUACAAGAGAAUUUAUGGAGAAAGGGAGCCUUAUAAGUUUAAAGAAUAUAUCAAAGCAUUGGCUUGCUCAACAAAUUCUAAACACAGUAGAUACGAUGACAGUGAUAAACUAAAUUUAAAGAAUGCAGAAAAACUUUUAGUGAAAGGUUACAAUUUCUUAAGCAUCAGAGCAUUUUUGCUGAAGAAAAGGCCUGUAAAUGUAAAAAGUGUUGCAAACCCUUAAAAAAUUUUUCAACUCUUACUCAACAUCAAAAAAUUUAUUCUGCAGAGAAGACCUACCAAUGUGAAGAAUGCAACAUACUCAAGAACUUUACUCAACAUCACAGUGUUCAUACAGGAGAUACGCCAUGCAAAUGCAAAGAAUGUGACAAAACUUCUAAUAAAAGCUCCAAUCUUAUUUGUCACCAGUGCACACACCCUCUAGAGAUGCCCCACAUAUGUAAACAAGUUUGUGAAGCCUUAAAAAAUCCAAGCCUUAAAAAUCACCAGAGAAUUCAUACUGGAAAGAAGCUCUACACAUGUAAAGUGUGUGGCAAGAUUUUUAAUCAUAAAUCAUCAUUUACUGAGCACCAGCGAAUCCACACUGGAGAGAAGCCCUACACCUGUAAUGUAUGUGGCAAAGCUUUUAGAAGAAAGUCACAUCUUGAUGGCCACAACAGGAUUCAUACUGGAGAAAAGCCCUACAACUGUAAAGGAUGUGACAAAGCUUUUAAAAGAAAGUCACAUCUUCAUCGCCACAACAGGAUUCAUACUGGAGAGAAGCCCUACAAAUGUAGAGAAUGUGGCAAGAGUUUUAAUCAAAAAUCAUCACUUACUCAGCACCAGCGACUCCACACUGGAGAGAAGCCCUACAACUGUAACAUAUGUAGCAAAAGUUUUCAUCAAAAACCAUCACUUACUCGGCACCAGAGAAUUCACACUGGAGAGAAGCCCUACAACUGUAAAGUGUGUGGCAAAAGUUUUACUACUACAAACACACAUCUUGAUUGCCACAACAGGAUUCAUACUGGAGAGAAGCCCUACAAAUGUUAAGUGUGUGGCAAGAGUUUUACAAUAAACACACAGCUUGAUCGCCACAACAGGAUUCAUACUGGAGAGAAGCCCUACAAAUGUAGAGAAUGUGGCAAAGAUUUUAAUCAACAAUCAUCACUUACUUGACACCAGAGAACCCAUACUAGAGAGAAGUCUUAUAAAUGUGAAGAAUGGCAAAGCUUUUAAAAUUGAAGAUCACAUCUUACUAAACAUUAUAGAUUUUAUUCUGGAGAGAACUUUUACAAGUGAAAACAUUGAAACAGUGUCUUUAAGGAUGAAUCAACCCUUACUUCACAGUAGUUCAACACUAUUUAACACCAGAGAUAUGAUAGCACAGAAAUUAUACAAGUGUAAAAUAGGUGUCAGAGUCUCCAACAGUUAUUCACACCCUACUCAGGACCUCAGAAUUCAUACGAGUGAGAGGACAUGUGGAAAAAUUUCAGACAUUUUUUCAAUUUCUGAUCCCAUACCUGUAGCAAAUGUGGAGUAGCAUUUGUCCAAAGUAUGUACCUUAGAUAACAGCAAAAUAUUUACAAAACACCUUGACAAAUACAACAACUGUAAGUGUCUUAUGUAUAGCCCAUCUCUUGAAGUAUUUGGGACCUAGGAGGGAAAAAAUCAUUUAAAUGUAGAAAAUGGGUAAUUGCUUUUGAUAUUUGCUGAAAAUUUUCUUAACAACUUUAGCUGAUAUUGUAGAAAUAAUGAAAUACAAAUAUAGAAUAGUGCAUCCCUAAAUGGAUAUAAUUUUACUAUAAAUCAACAAUUACUAAAUAUUCUCAUUUCUCACAAUUGGAGAAAACAUAAUUCUCAUAGUUGAUUAUUUCAGAAAUGUCUUAAGAUUAUAUGAAGCUUUAAAUGUUUAAUUUUUAGUUUUGAACUUAGGGGCACUUAAUCAGUAAACUGCAUCCCCAGAUUUUUUUUCAUCAUUUUUAUUUAGAGAUAUGGUCUGCUAAGUUGGUUAGGGCCUCAGUAAGUUAUGGAGCCUGGCUUUGAACUUGAAAAACGCCUUCUGUAGUUCCUCAAGGGUCACUGGCAUGGACCACCAUGCCUGUUGUAUAGAGCAUUUUUACUUAUAUUUGCAUUACAUAUGUAAUUUGUUACUAAAUAAAAAUUGUGAAUUUUUAAUGUUAACCAUGUCAUGCAUUUAAUGAUGUUAUUAGGUCACAUACUUCCC